RNAcentral lists this ribosomal RNA (485 nucleotides) under uncultured bacterium. RNAcentral's name for it is "bacterial SSU rRNA". It matches the Rfam family "Bacterial small subunit ribosomal RNA", at positions 29 to 524 of the family's 1533-position model. The record is from RNAcentral.
AACGAACGCUGGCGGCAGGCCUAACACAUGCAAGUCGAACGCCGUAGCAAUACGGAGUGGCAGACGGGUGAGUAACGCGUGGGAACAUACCCCUCGGUUCGGAAUAACUCAGGGAAACUUGAGCUAAUACCGGAUACGUCCGAGGUCUUAAUCGGCCUUGGAGAAAGAUUUAUCGCCGGAGGAUUGGCCCGCGUCUGAUUAGCUUGUUGGUGAGGUAAUGGCUCACCAAGGCGACGAUCAGUAGCUGGUCUGAGAGGAUGAUCAGCCACAUUGGGACUGAGACACGGCCCAAACUCCUACGGGAGGCAGCAGUGGGGAAUCUUGCGCAAUGGUCGAAAGACUGACGCAGCGACGCCGCGUGCGGGAGGAAGCUCUUCGGGGGUGUAAACCGCUGUUGCCCCGGAAACGAAACGCAGGAUUCAUCCUGCUUGACGGUACCGGGUGAGGAAGCGCCGGCUAACCUCUGUGCCAGCAGCCGCUGUAAG